GCGGGGCAGGGCGGGGCGCUGCGGCGGCCGUGAGGAAGGGCUGGGGAGGUUCCCCGCCGGGUCGCACCGAGCCGCUUCCCUCCACCGCCGGCCCGGCCAUGGCGUACGGUGGCCUCACGGUGCCCAUCAUCGUCAUGAGCGUUUUCUGGGGGGUGGUCGGAGGCGUCCUGCCAUGGCUCAUACCCAAGGGGCCUAACCGAGGUGUUAUCAACACAAUGCUGGUGACAUGUGCUGUUUGCUGCUACCUGUUUUGGCUGAUUGCGAUUCUGGCUCAACUCAACCCUCUCUUUGGGCCGCAGUUAAGCAAUGAAACAAUCUGGUACCUUAAAUACCACUGGCCUUAAGGAUGUCUGUCCUAUGCUGAAAUCUGUUGACUAGGAUAAUUCAGUUGUGUGGGAUCUGAAGUGAUCUGUGUGUUGUGAGCAGCAAGGUAAAACUGGAUAUGAGAUACAACUCUUGGACUCCAGCUGCCUGAUGAAAGAAUCAGGCUUUCCCUCUCCCUUUCAGUGAAGAAUUUUCCAGAGAGCUGAAGGUAAAGAAGAGAUUUUCUUCAGAUGAAACACUCCACUGCCCAAAGAUGCCCUUAACAUAGUCGGUUGGAUACCAAGCCUGCAUUAAUGCCUUAACCUUUCUAUUGUGCUUCAAAUGGCUUGUUCAAAGCCCUGUAUUUUUUCCUUCUAUACCUUUAACAGUGUGCCUAAUGCAGUUUAUACUCCCCUUUGAUGCUGUAAAUUUUUGUCUCUUAACUUCACAUGUGAUGAAAAUUUCUAAAGUUUUUAUGGGUAUUUGCUUUCCUGUUCAUUUUUCUCACUCUACGGGAAGACUGUAUAUAUGUUACAAGCCUUAGGUUGUCUAUUGCUGUGCUGUUCACCCUGUUCUGUUUGAUUGUGAUUGGUAAAAUGUCUGCAAGAAACUCUGUGAGGAGAAGACAAACAGUGGUGCCACAUGUUGAUGGCAUUUCUUCUUUUGAAUGAGUUGUAUUCUUGGGAAAUUUGGCCUUAAGUUUCUCAUGCCUGGAAAUAAAACUAAUCUCUGCUUUA
This is an RNA transcript of Pezoporus flaviventris, 1040 nucleotides long. It is a transcript of the gene named ATPase H+ transporting V0 subunit e1, with no coding region annotated. The transcript is spliced from 5 exons. The record is from RefSeq and is a predicted model, not a curated record. NCBI's taxonomy places the organism in Eukaryota, Metazoa, Chordata, Aves, Psittaciformes, Psittacidae.